This 1176-nucleotide ribosomal RNA is filed under the name beta proteobacterium 79. RNAcentral describes it as "bacterial SSU rRNA". It matches the Rfam family "Bacterial small subunit ribosomal RNA", at positions 104 to 1281 of the family's 1533-position model. Lineage: Bacteria; Pseudomonadati; Pseudomonadota; Betaproteobacteria. The record is from RNAcentral.
GGGUGAGUAAUAUAUCGGAACGUGCCUGGUAAUGGGGGACAACUAGUCGAAAGAUUAGCUAAUACCGCAUACGCCCUACGGGGGAAAGAGGGGGCUUCGCAAGAACCUCUCGUUAUCAGAGCGGCCGAUAUCUGAUUAGCUAGUUGGUGAGGUAAAGGCUCACCAAGGCUUCGAUCAGUAGCUGGUCUGAGAGGACGACCAGCCACACUGGGACUGAGACACGGCCCAGACUCCUACGGGAGGCAGCAGUGGGGAAUUUUGGACAAUGGGCGCAAGCCUGAUCCAGCAAUGCCGCGUGAGUGAAGAAGGCCUUCGGGUUGUAAAGCUCUUUUGUCAGGGAAGAAACGGUCUUGGUUAAUACCUGGGGCUAAUGACGGUACCUGAAGAAUAAGCACCGGCUAACUACGUGCCAGCAGCCGCGGUAAUACGUAGGGUGCAAGCGUUAAUCGGAAUUACUGGGCGUAAAGCGUGCGCAGGCGGUUUUUUAAGACAGGUGUGAAAUCCCCGGGCUUAACCUGGGAAUGGCAUUUGUGACUGGAAGGCUAGAGUGUGUCAGAGGGGGGUAGAAUUCCACGUGUAGCAGUGAAAUGCGUAGAGAUGUGGAGGAAUACCGAUGGCGAAGGCAGCCCCCUGGGAUAACACUGACGCUCAUGCACGAAAGCGUGGGGAGCAAACAGGAUUAAAUACCCUGGUAGUCCACGCCCUAAACGAUGUCUCUAGUUGUCGGGUCUUAAUUGACUUGGUAACGCAGCUAACGCGUGAAGUAGACCGCCUGGGGAGUACGGUCGCAAGAUUAAAACUCAAAGGAAUUGACGGGGACCCGCACAAGCGGUGGAUGAUGUGGAUUAAUUCGAUGCAACGCGAAAAACCUUACCUACCCUUGACAUGGCUGGAAUCCUUGAGAGAUCAGGGAGUGCUUGAAAGAGAACCAGUACACAGGUGCUGCAUGGCUGUCGUCAGCUCGUGUCGUGAGAUGUUGGGUUAAGUCCCGCAACGAGCGCAACCCUUGUCAUUAGUUGCUACGAAAGGGCACUCUAAUGAGACUGCCGGUGACAAACCGGAGGAAGGUGGGGAUGACGUCAAGUCCUCAUGGCCCUUAUGGGUAGGGCUUCACACGUCAUACAAUGGUACAUACAGAGGGCCGCCAACCCACGAGGGGGAGCUAAUCCCAGAAAG